GCCGUGCUCCCUCGUGCUCUCCGAUCGGCUUCCUGCAUUUUAUUUUCUCUUUAAUGUGUAGCUCGUCUUCACAUGCAGUUCAAUUGCCAUCUUUACCGAGUAUUGUUUUCUCCUUCUGUCCAGUUUCGUUUCAAAAUCCUAACCUUAGCGUCACUCUUCCGUAGCUAUGGCGAACUCUUCUGUACCUAUGGCGAACUCUUCCGCAGCUAUGGCGAUAGUCAAUUCGCCUAAUGCCCAAGAUGAUUCAAACGAGGAUUUCAGGUGCUCUUAUAUUGGUUUACCAGCACUGGAUGUCUCUGCUGCAUUCCCCCAAGCAACUCCGGCUUCCCUCUUUCCUCCAUGCACUUCAGACUUCUACCAUUUAGAUGAUUUAUUGACUCCUGAGGAGCAGGCACUCAGGAUAAAAGUAAGAGAAUUCAUGGAAAAAGAGAUAGCACCAAUAAUGGCACAGUUCUGGGAGAAGGCAGAGUUUCCAUUUCAUGUUAUUCCAAAGCUGAGUGCACUGCGCAUUGUUGGUGGUACUAUCAAGGGCUAUGGUUGUCCUGGUCUUUCCAUUACUGGAAGUGCUAUUGUUUUCGCAGAAAUUGCGAGAGUUGACGCAAGUUGCUCCACUUUCAUUGUGGUCCAUUCUUGUGUGGCAAUGCUAACAAUUGCACUGUGUGGAUCAGAGACACAAAGGCAGAAAUAUUUACCAUCAUUGGCUGAACUAAACACUGUAGCAUGUUGGGGUUUGACUGAGCCUGACUAUGGAAGUGAUGCAAGUGCAUUAAGAACAACAGCAACAAAGGUGGCAGGCGGCUGGAUACUUGAAGGCCAAAAACGAUGGAUAGGAAACAGUACUUUUGCAGAUGUGUUGGUUAUUUUUGCAAGGAACACUACUACAAAUCAAAUAAAUGGAUAUAUAGUGAAGAAGGAUGCCCCUGGACUAAGGGCUACUAAAAUAGAAAACAAAAUUGGCCUGCGGAUUGUUCAAAAUGGAGAUAUUCUCUUAAAGAAAGUCUUUGUCCCCGAUGAGGAUAGAUUACCCGGUGUCAAUUCUUUUCAGGAUACAGCCAAGCAGGUGCUGGCUGUUUCACGUGUUAUGGUUGCCUGGCAACCCAUUGGCAUUUCUAUGGGUGUUUAUGAUAUGUGCCACAGGUAUCUAAAUGAGAGAAAACAGUUUGGAGCACCAUUGGCAGCUUUCCAAAUAAACGAACAGAAACUUGUCCGCAUGCUGGGUGAUGUUCAGGGAAUGAUUCUUGUGGGUUGGCGCGUUUGCAAGUUGUAUGAGAAAGGUAAAAUGACUCUUGGGCAUGCAAGCUUGGCAAAGUCCUGGAUUUCCUCGAGGGCAAGGGAGACUGUUGCUCUUGGGCGGGAGUUACUUGGUGGCAACGGAAUUUUGUCUGAUUUUCUUGUUGCAAAGGUGUAUUCACAACUUCGGCUCCAAGGAAAAGAGUCCCCUCUUGCUUCUACUACCAUGCCUUUGGUUUCCUCGUUUGAUGAUCAUACUAUUUGGCAUUCUGUGAUUUGGAGCCUAUCCAUACGUACGAAGGUACCUACGACAUCAACAGCUUGGUCACUGGUAGGGAAGUAACUGGUGUUGCCAGCUUCAAACCUGCUGCAUUGAACCGAAGGAGCCGCCUUUAACUGCAUAAAUUCUGUUUAUGUGGACGUUUAACUCCAUAAAUUCUGUUCGUGGACUUUUACCUGGGAAUUUGUUGGCUGGACAAAUCCCUAGGUAGAUGGAGCAGCAGCAAAUCACUCAGAAGCUUGAGCAGGGUCGCUCAAAAGUCAGACCAGGGAUGAAUAGAAAACAGGGUAUUGCUUUUCACGUUAAAUUGUUAAUUGACUAAUAAAAUGAGUAUAAAGAUCAUCCUAAGUCAGGGAUGAGGAUAAUUAUGUUUUAGUGAUUGUAGAACUCACAACAGUAAUGAUUAGUGUAGCCUUGGAUGGCAUUUCUACC
RNA transcript from Malania oleifera, 1942 nucleotides. It is a transcript of the gene named acyl-coenzyme A oxidase 4, peroxisomal-like, with no coding region annotated. The record is from RefSeq and is a predicted model, not a curated record. The transcript is spliced from 15 exons. NCBI's taxonomy places the organism in Eukaryota, Viridiplantae, Streptophyta, Magnoliopsida, Santalales, Ximeniaceae.